ACACCGUGAGCUUGCUUUUGAUGGUACCUAAUGUUUCUGCUAACCCACGUUGACCAGGAGUGACCGGACGAAUAUUUUAAAUAGCUUUAGUUCUUGUAUGAGUUCCUGUCUGUAGGCCGCAAAUCAACUUUUUGUUUACAACAAUAUAAAUUAACUGUACAUGUAACAUUCAUAUUGUAACAAUGGCAAGUUUAAUAUCUUUUAUGUACUUGAAUAUAGGUAAUAUUAGGGGUUAAAGUAUGAAAUUGCCGUUUUAUUCUAGUAGGUUUUUGAAUUGCCAUAGAGUCUUCAUGGUUUGAGGUUUUCGAAUGGAACUUUUUUCAAGUGGUUUCUGUGAUGUUCUUCUUUUAAAAAAUGUGAAACAUUUGAUUAUCGAUGUUCAAUUGUUUUUGUUAUUCAACUUAAACAAGAAAGAUGGAUACUGCGAAAAUUUGAGUAAUUUUUGAAUAUGAGUUCCGACGCGGAAGUAAACGGCAGAAACAGCCCGCAAUAUCAAUGCUGCAUUUGAAGAGGUGUCUGCUAAAGAACGCGCCGUGCGAUUUUGGAUUAAACGCUUUCGUGGUGGAAACUUCGACUUGAAGAACGAGCCAUGAGAAAGACCGCCUGACAGGUGAUUAACGAGAAAUUAAGAGAGACGGUGAACGCCGAUCCUAGUCAAACUACCCAGAUACCCAGCCGAACACCGAAUAAUGUUGAAAAAAUUAGCAGUAAAACAGCCACGACUCAUGAAUCGACCUUCACCGCUAUUGCUCCAUGACAACGCGAGGCCUCAUACAGCAAAAUAAACCGUUUUAACUCUUCAGGAACUGCAGUUGGAAACUAUUCGUCUUCCUCCAUAUUCGCCAGACCUUGCUCUAACGGACGACCAUUUUUUUUGUGAUUUGGACAAUUAUCUACGUCACAAGAAGUUUCUUCCCAGGAGGCAGAACAAAAUUCUUUCACACUGUUUGUGCAGUCUAGAUCCUCAGAGUUCUAUCGUAAAGGCAUAAAUGACCUUCUUAUUAGAUGACCGCAAUGUAUAGAUAAUAAUGGCAACUAUUUUGAUUAAAUAAGUUUGUUAAAAAUUUAAAAAAAAUACAAUUUAGGUUUUCAGUACAAAUCGGCAAUUUCAUACUUUAACCCCUAUUAUUAAAGCAUCUUAUAUAUUUUCAUCUUCUACAAUAAUAAAGAGUUUUUAGUGAGUGAAUAAAGAUUUAUUUUUUUGUAUCUAAAGGCGAGGCAUGCUAGAUAUGUACUAGUGUCCGUACUUAAAUAUUGAUCCUUGUGCCAUACCUGACUUACUGUCUGUAUCAUGCCAUUUGUCCAUGUUUGUGUAGGAUGUUGUUUUUUACUUGUAAUCGUCUAUAAAAAAUAUAUUUGCGUAAUUUUUUUUGCGUCUUUUAGUAAAUCUUUAUUGAAUUUCAAAGGGUUAACCAUCCUUAAUUGCUUAAUUAAGGGAUAGGCCCAUCUUCGGGCCUUUUGCUAAAUUUGUCUUAGUUAGCGAAUUAUAUGGGACGACAGUAAAUUAUGUGGUCCCCUCCAUUAAUUUAUAUUUACAAAAACUCAAACCACCUUUUCUUUUCAUUGUUUUAUGUUGGUUAGCCUAAUUCAUAAUCGUUUCUAUCGAACCAAACAGGGUUCUGCUUUUGGGACAUUUCCGAUAUUAAAGAAAAUAAUGAUUAUAAAUAUAUGCUUGUUUUCCUGAGAAAACACUAAUUAACGUAGAAAGUAGGUAUUUUAUGACAUUAAACUACACUACCCGUAUCUAGACAUAAGCAGUGAUAAUAACCUUAACCAUGGUUUUAGUGGAUGAAUACAACUUGUAAAAUCUUCAUCUCAAUAUGGCAUUCCAGGUUGUCUGUGCCAAGAUCACAUACGAGCCUAUUAUACUGGCCCAGAUUUCUGAAGGAUAUCCUUUUUCAGUCUUAUUAUAAUUCUUUGUUAAAUCCAGCCAAUCAGUUCUUUUUGAAUGCAUUUUUUUGCAUUGAUUAUCCAUCCACACAGCGAAAAAAGUAUAUAAAUAUAAAAAAUAGGUAUUUAUAAACUACGUGUAUAAACUACAUACUAUAUAUCUUUUUAUUAUCUUUCGGGUCUAGCUUUUGACGAUCGCAAGCGGGACAAAUUUACGUAAGCACGACAACCAAAAACACGUAAAUGCAAGCAAGAGCAAGAUCUGGCUUUCUGUUAUAAAUACCAUAGCUCAUAAGGAGUACGAUUUCCUAAAGCUCUGUGUCGACAUCUAUUUUUAAAACGAGUAGCAGUACGUACCGCUUUUUGCCAGAAAGUACAUCACCAAUGCCAGACGAAGUAACCUUCUUGUUAUUGGCCAAAAUUAUUUCUUUGCUCUCAACAUUAGGAUUAAAGUUAGUAAGCCAUUCUUUCCUGUAUGACUUAUGCGUGGCGGCACCACUGUCCACGUACCAAUCUGACGAACUGAUACCACCUCCGGCACUAAACAUCGGUGUUGAUUCUAUGUCAUCUAGACAUCGGUGUUGAUUCUUUGACAUUUCCUUGCUUCGACUUUUGUCCAUUUCUCUGCGGACAAUUCGGACUUUUAUGUCCAGGCUCCUUACAUCGAUAGCACACAAUAUUUUUCGCUUUCGAUAUUCACGUUUGGCACUUUCUGCUUAACAAGUUGUGAUGUUAUGUCCACGUAUGAGUUUUCGAGGGCCAUCACAAGGGCAUCGUAUUCUUCUGGCAAUCCGCCUACUAAUAUUGCACCAACAGAUAAGCCGUCUUUUUUACGGCCUAUAUAUCUGCCAAGUAUAGGACAGUGCUAGUAACUGUAUUUAUAUACUCUUCAAUGGAAACAAACUGCAACUAAAUCUUUCUGUCUAACGCAAGUCUUUUGAUCAUACCUUUAUUUUCUUACGCUUUUUUUUGGAGUGCCAUCUCGCAGUUCAGCUAAGGAGCCUGUUGACUGCUCAACCGGACAAAUCCCUGUGGAUGCCUAGAAUUUAAGGCCGCCAGCCAGGGAAAAGCUCUUCAUACGCGUUUGCUAAUGUAUCAUAUUACAGCUACAACAUUGGUAGGGCUGGGCCCGUACUUAACCAUUGGUUAACCACCAUUGGACGAAAAAAACUAUUUUACAAAUAAAUGUGUAGAAAUCUUGGUUGAUCAUUAUUUGUCGGAAACAAAGAGCCAAUCCUAUAAUAAACUCGCCCUUGUGCCAUAAAUGCAACUGAAGAUUCAGGCAUGAUGACCUCAUUACCCACACUAAAUGAUGUCAUUUGAAAGCAAGAAUUGUACUUUCUUAUUCUGUUUAAAAAUCGUCGAGAUUCAUUGCUGUCAUAGAGCAUCAAUCGAUUUUGUCUACAAUAUCGCAACGAAAUGUGUGUUCGACAGCCUAUGGGUUCUAAUAAAAUUGGCAGUAUCCCACUACAAAUUGCGACAUUUCUCGAACUCCCAGUACCUCAUUUGUACACGGAUCAUUGUUUCCGACCGACGAACUUCAGCCACACUUUUGACCGAUUCAGGAGCUGAUCUUCUGUCCCUUACGUACGUACGUUAAGCGUAACAGACGGACAGACAGAGUUACUCUCAAGAGUGACAGUGAAAUACCCAUAGGGCUAGUCAAUAAUAUCGUAAACACGACACUGGUGAUGUGAUGAUGUGGGAAACUUCAAUGAAUAACUAAUGCUACUAGAACGUGCCCGGGAUCUAUUACUUGAUAAGUACAUUUGCAUUUUAGAGCAAAAUCAACGAACGAAUGGGUUGCAUAAUUCUUUACUUAGAUUAUCAUGGGCGUAGCCACACUGGGGCAAGCUGGGGCACUUGCCCCACCCUGGGCCCUGGCUCUGACCUAUAAGGUGUCUGAUUAAACAAUGUUUUUUUUUACUAACUCUAACUAACAA
Helicoverpa armigera (cotton bollworm) is the source of this 3833-nucleotide long non-coding RNA. RefSeq lists it as uncharacterized. Lineage: Eukaryota; Metazoa; Arthropoda; Insecta; Lepidoptera; Noctuidae. The record is from RefSeq and is a predicted model, not a curated record. The transcript is spliced from 2 exons.